GACGAACGCUGGCGGCGUGCUUAACACAUGCAAGUCGAACGGAAACCGCUCUUCGGAGUGACUCGAGUGGUGAACGGGUGAGUAACAACUGGGUGAUCUGCCCUGCACUUUGGGAUAAGCCUGGGAAACUGGGUCUAAUACCGAAUACGCCUCUCGGAUCUUAGGGUUCUUGGGGGAAAGCUUUUGCGGUGUGGGAUGGGCCCGCGGCCUAUCAGCUUGUUGGCGGGGUGAUGGCCUACCAACGCGACGAUGGGCAGCCGGCAUGACAGGGUGUCUGGCCACUCUGAGACUGACAUACCGCCCACACUCCUACGGGAUGCAGCAUUGGGGAAUAUUGCACAAUGGGCGAAAGCCUGAUGCCGCGACGCCGAGUGAGGGAUGACGGCCUUCGGGUUGUAAUCCCCUUUACGAAUCGACUAAUUUCUAAUGAUGGUCGAUGCCGAAUAAGGACCGGCCAACUACCUGCCAGCAGCCGCGGUAAUACGUACGGUGCGAGCGUUGUCCGGAAUUACUGGGCGUAAAGAGCUCGGCGGUGGUUUGUCUCGUUGUUCGUGAAAACUCACACCUGAGCUGUGCGCGUGCUCUGCGAUACGGAACAUACUGGGCUUACUGCACUGCGAGACUGGAAUUCAAUGGUGUAGCGGUGCGAAUGCACUACAUAUCAGGACGAACACAAGUGGCGAAGGCAGGUCUCUCUGCUGUAACUGACCCUACAGGAGACGACAGCAUGGCGUAGCGAACCAGACUAGAUACCCUGGUAGUCCACCGCAGUAAACGAUGAUAACUAGCUGUCUGGGCACUUGGUGCUUAGGUGGCGCAGCUAACGCAUUAAGUUAUCCGCCUGGGAGAGUACGGCCGCAAGGUUAAAACUCAAAGAAAUUGACGGGGGGCCUGCACAAGCGGUGGAGCAUGUGGUUUAAUUGGAAGCAACGCGCAGAACCUUACCAACGUUUGACAUGUCCAGUAUGGUUAGUGGAGACACUUUCCUUCAGUUCGGCUGGCUGGAACACAGGUGCUGCAUGGCUGUCGUCAGCUCGUGUCGUGAGAUGUUGGGUUAAGUCCCGCAACGAGCGCAACCCUCGCCUUUAGUUGCCAUCAUUUAGUUGGGCACUAUAAAGGAACCCCCGGUGAUAAGCCGGAGGAAGGUGGGGAUGACGUCAAGUCCUCAGGCCCCUUAUCCGUUGGGCUACACACGUGCUACAAUGGCGGUGACAGUGGGCGGCAAGCGGGCGACCGAGAGAUUAUCUCCAAAAGCCGUUUCAGUUGGGAUUUGAUUUUGCAAUUGGAGUCCAGGAAGGGGGAAUCGUUGGUAAUCGCGGAUCAGCAUGCCGCGGUGAAUACGUUCCCAGGCCUUGUACUCACC
Molecule: ribosomal RNA, 1363 nt
Filed under: uncultured bacterium
Lineage: Bacteria
Description: partial 16S ribosomal RNA
Rfam family: Bacterial small subunit ribosomal RNA
Source: RNAcentral